UAUGGUUUCUUUCGUAUCUGC
This 21-nucleotide non-coding RNA is filed under the name Arabidopsis thaliana (thale cress). Lineage: Eukaryota; Viridiplantae; Streptophyta; Magnoliopsida; Brassicales; Brassicaceae. The record is from RNAcentral.